Molecule: long non-coding RNA, 2071 nt
Organism: Crotalus tigris (Tiger rattlesnake)
Lineage: Eukaryota; Metazoa; Chordata; Lepidosauria; Squamata; Viperidae
Exons: 3
Source: RefSeq, a predicted model, not a curated record
GCCCCCAUCGCGGAGGAGGCGUCUCCGCUGCCGGCUUCGCCGCCCGGCCGGUCCCCACCCACGCGCGGAAUUUUCCCGCCUCGGUGCGGCGCGGCUGUUCCCGAGCGAGGCGGCUUUCCCCGGGCAUCGGGGCCUGUGCGCGCCGGCCGGCGAAGGCCUGUCUCGGGAAGCCCUUUGCCUGGGUGGGAAGACCCGCCGGAUUCCGCUGGGGAGGCCGAAAUGCGGUUGGGGUUCUCCUAAGGGGCCGAUCCCCAGAAGCGUGGCUUCCCGAGCCGGUGGGUCAAGUCCUGCCCACGGGCCUGCAAAAAUGACGCUUGGCCGGUAGGGGGUCGCGGGGUCGUCUGAAUGCGCCCAUUUACGGGACACGUGUCCUGAUAAGCCAUAGUUCGAUUGAAUCAGAAUGACCUGUGGAAAGCUCGGCCAUCGAGGAAAUUGGUAAGCUGGCCUCAAACUGGAAAUGAGUCAGCACAAACCUCAGCGAUUGGAUGACCAACCUUGUUUGGGCUCCAAAGCUAAGCAGGGGUGGUUAUUACUUGGAUGAAGAUCUCCAGGGAUUUCUGAGACCAGAUUGAGAAUUUAAAAAAAAAAAUACCAGAAGACGCCAGCGACAGACGCUUCUAUCUUGCCUCAAAGGAAAUUACACGGGCAUGAUCCACUUUUCUUAAAUAGUAUGAAUAUUAUGUUACAACCUAUGCUCUGUGUAAAUAUUUAUCAGGCAAAACAUCAGAUCAAAUAUAUGUGCAUAAACGGUCUAGCAUUUAAUCUGAGUACUGCAGAAGUUCAGAAUUUUGUUGAUACAGCUGAGCACAUGUGAAUUGCACCUGGUAAAACUCACCUUUCUACCAACCAGGUAUGAAGAAUAUGAUUCUCAUUUGCAGCCAGUUUGCCCUAUUUGCUCUGCUGGUACCCAAGGAGUUCUUUAGAAGGCAACAAUGAAUGCUUUUCUUAAACCUGAAUGAUGAAAUUUCCCUUCCUUCAUGAUACUUGCCUCGGGCAAGGGAUCCCAAACAUAAAUUGCCACCUUCUUUUAAAUGACUGCAUAUCCACUAAUGAAGCAGUUGGCAGGUGAUUGGGAGUAAACUAUACCAAGAGUAGAACUGUGGGUUUCUCUAUGAAAAGUGCUAUGACCUCAAGGACGUCGUGUAGUCCUACAUGAUGCAACAGUCCUCAAAUCUUACUACACUGAUGCCCAAACAGAGACCUACUUAGCCAGCUCAUAUGUUUGUUUCAACAAACAUCCAUUCUUCCCAAUAGGUCACACAUUACUCUCUCUUUGUGCCAAUAUUUCCACAUCUUAAAAUUCAUCCAUUCCCCCUUCUUCCUAGUUACCAAGUGAGUCUGCUUGCUCUAGUUUCAGUCUUAUCAUGAACAAUCACCGCCCAUCAUGCUUUUUGAUUUGUGUUUACUGUUUUGCCAUAUCUACAUAGUACAUUUAAACCACAUGUUUAAAAUAAUCCUUUUUCAAGUAGAUCUCCUUGGCUCUUCAAAAGAAACAGAUAACAUUUCCUUGCUCUUUAAUCUUGUUUUUUAUCCAUCCAGUAGGCAUCUAGGCAGGAUGGGGGAAGCCAGAUUCACUUUCUGUUGUUAAGUGAGACAUUUGUUAAGUGAGUUUUGCCCCAUUUUACGACCUUUUUUGCUGCAGGUUUUAGCUGAAUCCUUGCAGCGAUUCACUUAAAAACUAGCAAGAAAGGUUGUAAAAUAGGGAAAAAGUCACUUAACAAACAUCUCAGCAACAUAAAUUUUGGGCUCAGUUGAGAACUACCUGUAUGCUUCCUUGUAUACAUUCAUUAAAUGCAGCCUGUAAGAUUAGACAACUUUACAGGGCUAAGAACAGGUUCUGUUCCUCUCCUUAACUUUAACUGAAUUUGUAUGUAAGUUGGAAAUUUUAUUUCUGAAUGGACUUCCUGUUAUUAAAAAGGGCAGACGGUGUUCUUCCUCAAGAGUCACGCAACAUAUAAUAAUCAGGAAAAUAUUGGAAUGUGCAGAGAUGGACAGAUUAACUAUGAGGUUGAAAGAUAAAGAAGAUACAUACUGCUAUCAAAUUUGGAACUUAUUUUAUUCUUGGCUAGAG